GCCAUUAGCUAGAUCAGCCUGCAAUUCACAGCUGGCAGCCCCACUGGAGCUCAGCAGGUGUGAGCCUGGUCAGUACCUGGAUGGGAGACCUCCUGGGAAAGCUCAGGUUGCUGCUGGAA
Molecule: ribosomal RNA, 119 nt
Filed under: Lepisosteus oculatus (spotted gar)
Lineage: Eukaryota; Metazoa; Chordata; Actinopteri; Semionotiformes; Lepisosteidae
Source: RNAcentral